GCAAUUUCAAGGAUACUCAUGUAGAAUUCAUGAAUAUUUUCAUCUUCUUUCAUCCUUAAGUUUUCAAACUUGAAGGUGAGCAGCUGGAGUCUAGACAUCUUUACCCUAGAGGUGCCUUCAUGAGUGGUCUUGAGAAUGUACCAAGCUUCUUUGGCCACUUCACCGUUGUUUACCAGCCUGAAAAUAUUUUUGUCUACCCUAUUGAAUAUUGCAUUCAAGGCUUUAGAGUUUCCAA
RNAcentral lists this long non-coding RNA (235 nucleotides) under Lathyrus oleraceus (garden pea). RNAcentral describes it as "Pisum sativum (pea) long non-coding RNA (PSAT_LNC001663)". Lineage: Eukaryota; Viridiplantae; Streptophyta; Magnoliopsida; Fabales; Fabaceae. The record is from RNAcentral.